GAUGAAGAACGCAGCGAAAUGCGAUAAGUAAUGCGAAUUGCAGAAUUCCAGUGAGUCAUCGAAUCUUUGAACGCACAUUGCGCCCUUUGGUAUUCCGAAGGGCAUGUCUGUUCGAGCGUCAUUAUCACCCCUCAAGCCCUCGGCUUGGUGUUGGACGGUUUGGUGGAGGCCCCCUCGGGGGCUCCUGCCCCUCCCAAAGACAAUGACGGCGGCCUCGUUGGACCCCCGGUACACUGAGUUCUUCACGGGACACGUAUCGGACACAUGGGUUUACGGGACACGGUCUGCCUCCCCUCAGGGAGAAUCUUUCUAAGGUUGACCUCGGAUCAGGUAGGGAUACCCGCUGAACUUAAGCAUAUCAAUAAGCGGAGGA
RNAcentral lists this unclassified non-coding RNA (373 nucleotides) under soil metagenome. RNAcentral's name for it is "partial contains 5.8S ribosomal RNA, internal transcribed spacer 2, and large subunit ribosomal RNA". The stretch from base 1 to 121 matches the Rfam family "5.8S ribosomal RNA", at positions 35 to 154 of the family's 154-position model. The record is from RNAcentral.